Molecule: ribosomal RNA, 462 nt
Filed under: uncultured bacterium
Lineage: Bacteria
Description: partial 16S ribosomal RNA
Rfam family: Bacterial small subunit ribosomal RNA
Source: RNAcentral
GAUGAACGCUGACAGAAUGCUUAACACAUGCAAGUCAUUGGCGAAGCUGCGCUUGCGCAGUCUAUCCAAGGCGGACGGGUGAGUAACGCGUAAGGAACUUGCCCUGCAGACAGGGAUAACAGACGGAAACGACUGAUAACACCUGGUAUUGUCAGGCUGGCGCAUGCCGGCCUGAUGAAAGGAGACGCUGCAGGAGAGCCUUGCGUCCUAUUAGCUAGUUGGUGGGGUAACGGCCCACCAAGGCGAUGAUAGGUAGCCGGCCUGAGAGGGUGAACGGCCACAAGGGGACUGAGAUACGGCACUGACUCAUACGGGAGGCAGCAGUGGGGAAUAUUGGACAAUGGGGGCAACGCUGAUCCAGCAAUUCUGUGUGCACGAAGAAGGUUUUCGGAUUGAAAAGUGCUUUCAGCAGGGAAGAAGAAAGUGACGGUACCUGCAGAAGAAGCGACGGCUAAAUACGUG